AUGUCAACUAUUUCUGAUCAGAAGAAACGGACCUUAGAAGCCAUUCAACAACGGUAUGCAGCAGCUAAAGCUAAGAAGCUGAAAGAUGAACAGCCUAAGUGCCCGAAGAACAAAGAGACUACCCCCAAGCCCAAGUUUGAUGCACGGAUUAAAGGAAAAACUCCCAAAUUCACUCCUUCUCGAACCUCUGCCCAGCUCUCUACAUUUAGAGGUUUUUAUUUUGGAAAUUCCAGUCAUCAACAAAACACUUCUGGUUCCUCAGGUGGAGAAGUCAACCCUAUAUACUCUGAGCUUUCAUUUGCUCUCCAUGAAAAUCUGUCCCAAGGUGACUAUUCGGAUCUCGACAGCACGGAGAUAGUUGACAGUGUUGUACAUGACAUAAUUCAGAAAGGUGGAGAAGCCGGAAGAAUCGCCAAGGGAUCUAAAAAGUUAAAGCUGGAUAGAGGGAUUCUUUUGGAUAACUAUGUUCAAAGGGGUCCUAUAUUAGUGGAUGCACAAUCACGGUCUUUGUUGACCCAUUCAAAGCGAUCAAAAAGACACAUGUCAAUGAAGCAACAUAAGAAAUGUGGGUCAUUUGGUUUACAUGAUACAUUCCGCAGGUUUGACCUCUAUAAGCCAAUGCAUGAAAUGUGGAAAGAGUAUAUGUGA
RNAcentral lists this ribosomal RNA (648 nucleotides) under Triticum aestivum (bread wheat). RNAcentral's name for it is "partial small subunit ribosomal RNA". The record is from RNAcentral. Lineage: Eukaryota; Viridiplantae; Streptophyta; Magnoliopsida; Poales; Poaceae.